RNAcentral lists this ribosomal RNA (468 nucleotides) under uncultured bacterium. Its description in RNAcentral is "partial 16S ribosomal RNA". It matches the Rfam family "Bacterial small subunit ribosomal RNA", at positions 28 to 507 of the family's 1533-position model. The record is from RNAcentral.
GACGAACGCUGGCGGCGUGCUUAACACAUGCAAGUCGAACGGAAAGGCCCUGCUUUUGUUGCUUUCUCGAGUGGCGAACGGGUGAGUAACACGUGAGUAACCUGCCCUUGACUUUGUGAUAACUUCAGGAAACUGGGGCUAAUACCCGAUAUGAUCUCCUGCUGCAUGGUGGGGGUUGGAAAGUUUCGGCUGUUGGGGAUGGACUCGCGGCUUAUCAGCUUGUUUGUGAGGUAGUUGCUGACCAAGGCUUUGACGGGUAGCCGGCCUGAGAGGGUGAACGGGGACAAUGGGACUGAGAUACGGCGCAGACGCCUAAGGGAGGCAGUAGGGGGGAAUAUGGCACAAUGGGCGGAAGCCAGAUGCAGCAACGCUGGGUGCGGGAUGACGGCCUUCGGGGGGUAAACCGAUUUCGCCUGUGACGAAGAGUGAGUGACGGUAAUGGGUAAAGAAGCAACGGCUAACUACGUG